AAGAAGUUAGUUUAAUAAAAACAAUUAUUUGUCAAAUAAAAAAAAUAUAAUAUAUACAUCUUG
RNAcentral lists this transfer RNA (63 nucleotides) under Achilidae gen. 1 sp. n. 1 SX-2018. RNAcentral describes it as "tRNA-Asp". The record is from RNAcentral. Lineage: Eukaryota; Metazoa; Arthropoda; Insecta; Hemiptera; Achilidae.